Homo sapiens (human) is the source of this 408-nucleotide long non-coding RNA. The record is from Ensembl. NCBI's taxonomy places the organism in Eukaryota, Metazoa, Chordata, Mammalia, Primates, Hominidae.
AGGAAUUUACCAAAGCCAAGCCCUUUGACUCUGGGCCUAUCUAUUUCUUUGAUCAGUUGAAACCUGAACGGAAAGAUGGGAAAAGAUAACCUGUGAAGAAAGUUAUCCCACCCAAAAUGCACCUCAAGAGCUAAGUGUAGGUUGGAUCUUUCAACAUCCUUACUCAAAAUGGGAAAUUCUGAAGUGGAAGACAGUCCCCAGUAUAGCUGUGAAGAGACUACAAGUAGCCAUAAUUCAAAUGUAGGAAGCCCUCCAUAGUCUUUAUAAUCAUAGACUUUUAUAAAGCAUAUGGUUUGAUGGGCAAGAAGAAACGCAGAGCAUGUGGCCCCCCAGACAAGUCACCUUAUCACGAUACCUGCCUAUUGUAUCUGUAAUAUGAAAACAUAUAUACACAGCUGCACACACAAA